Non-coding RNA from Kogia breviceps (pygmy sperm whale), 511 nucleotides. Lineage: Eukaryota; Metazoa; Chordata; Mammalia; Artiodactyla; Physeteridae. The record is from RefSeq and is a predicted model, not a curated record.
GGGAGGAGGUGCGAGAUGGUAGAGCUGGAGGAUCGUCAGCAACAGGAGAGGGAGGCCAGGCUGCAGUGUCACUCACGUCUGGCGUUGACGGCACAGGCUCCGAUUCCUCGCCGGAACCAGACGCACGCUCGCAUCUUCAAGAGUUCGCAGCUUGAAGGUGAAAUCAGAGGUUCGUGGCUGACCUGCGUAGGUGCUUUGAACCGAGAAAGAAGGACAAGAUAAAAGCCUCUUUCUUAAACGCAGCAUUCAUCAUGUCGCUUUCUGACUGAAAACAAACAAAGGAGAAACCUUCCGUGGGUUUCUAUCCAUCCUCUCAGCAAACAGAUCUCACUGGGCACCUAUCCUUAUCGCCCACCACUUCGCACUCGAAUUUGAAGCCUUUCAGCUGAGCUCACCUGCUUUGGAUCCUACCCCCCAAGACUGGAUUGUUUCUGCCCCCCCCUGCCUCUGUGCCCUCCCCACACCCUCUCCCUGUGUCCCCAUCCGUGUGCCUCACCUCCUCAGAACCCCC